This 2540-nucleotide ribosomal RNA is filed under the name Escherichia coli. Its description in RNAcentral is "partial 23S ribosomal RNA". It matches the Rfam family "Bacterial large subunit ribosomal RNA", at positions 418 to 2925 of the family's 2925-position model. Lineage: Bacteria; Pseudomonadati; Pseudomonadota; Gammaproteobacteria; Enterobacterales; Enterobacteriaceae. The record is from RNAcentral.
CGGGACACGUGGUAUCCUGUCUGAAUAUGGGGGGACCAUCCUCCAAGGCUAAAUACUCCUGACUGACCGAUAGUGAACCAGUACCGUGAGGGAAAGGCGAAAAGAACCCCGGCGAGGGGAGUGAAAAAGAACCUGAAACCGUGUACGUACAAGCAGUGGGAGCACGCUUAGGCGUGUGACUGCGUACCUUUUGUAUAAUGGGUCAGCGACUUAUAUUCUGUAGCAAGGUUAACCGAAUAGGGGAGCCGAAGGGAAACCGAGUCUUAACUGGGCGUUAAGUUGCAGGGUAUAGACCCGAAACCCGGUGAUCUAGCCAUGGGCAGGUUGAAGGUUGGGUAACACUAACUGGAGGACCGAACCGACUAAUGUUGAAAAAUUAGCGGAUGACUUGUGGCUGGGGGUGAAAGGCCAAUCAAACCGGGAGAUAGCUGGUUCUCCCCGAAAGCUAUUUAGGUAGCGCCUCGUGAAUUCAUCUCCGGGGGUAGAGCACUGUUUCGGCAAGGGGGUCAUCCCGACUUACCAACCCGAUGCAAACUGCGAAUACCGGAGAAUGUUAUCACGGGAGACACACGGCGGGUGCUAACGUCCGUCGUGAAGAGGGAAACAACCCAGACCGCCAGCUAAGGUCCCAAAGUCAUGGUUAAGUGGGAAACGAUGUGGGAAGGCCCAGACAGCCAGGAUGUUGGCUUAGAAGCAGCCAUCAUUUAAAGAAAGCGUAAUAGCUCACUGGUCGAGUCGGCCUGCGCGGAAGAUGUAACGGGGCUAAACCAUGCACCGAAGCUGCGGCAGCGACGCUGAUGCGUUGUUGGGUAGGGGAGCGUUCUGUAAGCCUGUGAAGGUGUGCUGUGAGGCAUGCUGGAGGUAUCAGAAGUGCGAAUGCUGACAUAAGUAACGAUAAAGCGGGUGAAAAGCCCGCUCGCCGGAAGACCAAGGGUUCCUGUCCAACGUUAAUCGGGGCAGGGUGAGUCGACCCCUAAGGCGAGGCCGAAAGGCGUAGUCGAUGGGAAACAGGUUAAUAUUCCUGUACUUGGUGUUACUGCGAAGGGGGGACGGAGAAGGCUAUGUUGGCCGGGCGACGGUUGUCCCGGUUUAAGCGUGUAGGCUGGUUUUCCAGGCAAAUCCGGAAAAUCAAGGCUGAGGCGUGAUGACGAGGCACUACGGUGCUGAAGCAACAAAUGCCCUGCUUCCAGGAAAAGCCUCUAAGCAUCAGGUAACAUCAAAUCGUACCCCAAACCGACACAGGUGGUCAGGUAGAGAAUACCAAGGCGCUUGAGAGAACUCGGGUGAAGGAACUAGGCAAAAUGGUGCCGUAACUUCGGGAGAAGGCACGCUGAUAUGUAGGUGAAGCGACUUGCUCGUGGAGCUGAAAUCAGUCGAAGAUACCAGCUGGCUGCAACUGUUUAUUAAAAACACAGCACUGUGCAAACACGAAAGUGGACGUAUACGGUGUGACGCCUGCCCGGUGCCGGAAGGUUAAUUGAUGGGGUCAGCGCAAGCGAAGCUCUUGAUCGAAGCCCCGGUAAACGGCGGCCGUAACUAUAACGGUCCUAAGGUAGCGAAAUUCCUUGUCGGGUAAGUUCCGACCUGCACGAAUGGCGUAAUGAUGGCCAGGCUGUCUCCACCCGAGACUCAGUGAAAUUGAACUCGCUGUGAAGAUGCAGUGUACCCGCGGCAAGACGGAAAGACCCCGUGAACCUUUACUAUAGCUUGACACUGAACAUUGAGCCUUGAUGUGUAGGAUAGGUGGGAGGCUUUGAAGUGUGGACGCCAGUCUGCAUGGAGCCGGCCUUGAAAUACCACCCUUUAAUGUUUGAUGUUCUAACGUUGACCCGUGAUCCGGGUUGCGGACAGUGUCUGGUGGGUAGUUUGACUGGGGCGGUCUCCUCCUAAAGAGUAACGGAGGAGCACGAAGGUUGGCUAAUCCUGGUCGGACAUCAGGAGGUUAGUGCAAUGGCAUAAGCCAGCUUGACUGCGAGCGUGACGGCGCGAGCAGGUGCGAAAGCAGGUCAUAGUGAUCCGGUGGUUCUGAAUGGAAGGGCCAUCGCUCAACGGAUAAAAGGUACUCCGGGGAUAACAGGCUGAUACCGCCCAAGAGUUCAUAUCGACGGCGGUGUUUGGCACCUCGAUGUCGGCUCAUCACAUCCUGGGGCUGAAGUAGGUCCCAAGGGUAUGGCUGUUCGCCAUUUAAAGUGGUACGCGAGCUGGGUUUAGAACGUCGUGAGACAGUUCGGUCCCUAUCUGCCGUGGGCGCUGGAGAACUGAGGGGGGCUGCUCCUAGUACGAGAGGACCGGAGUGGACGCAUCACUGGUGUUCGGGUUGUCAUGCCAAUGGCACUGCCCGGUAGCUAAAUGCGGAAGAGAUAAGUGCUGAAAGCAUCUAAGCACGAAACUUGCCCCGAGAUGAGUUCUCCCUGACUCCUUGAGAGUCCUGAAGGAACGUUGAAGACGACGACGUUGAUAGGCCGGGUGUGUAAGCGCAGCGAUGCGUUGAGCUAACCGGUACUAAUGAACCGUGAGGCUUAACCUUACAACGCCGAAGC